GCGAGUCAUUGUAGCAAUACAAGGCAGACGGCUCAGUAACGCGUAGUCAAUCUACCCUAUGGACGGGAAUAACCUCGGGAAACUGAGAAUAAUGCCCGACAGAACAUUAUACCUGGAACGGUUUAUGUUUCAAAUGAUUUAUCGCCGUAGGAUGGGACUGCGGCCUAUCAGUUUGUUGGUGAGGUAAUGGCCCACCAAGACUAUUACAGGUACGGGCUCUGAGAGGAGUAGCCCGGAGAUGGGUACUGAGACACGGACCCAGGCCCUAUGGGGCGCAGCAGGCGAGAAAACUUUGCAAUGUGCGAAAGCACGACAAGGUUAAUCCGAGUGGUUUCUGCUAAAGAAACCUUUUGCUAGUCCUAGAAACACUAGUGAAUAAGGGGUGGGCAAGUUCUGGUGUCAGCCGCCGCGGUAAAACCAGCACCCCAAGUGGUCAGGAUGAUUAUUGGGCCUAAAGCAUCCGUAGCUCGUUUUGUAAGUUUUCGGUUAAAUCCAUACGCUUAACGUAUGGGCUGCCGGGAAUACUGCAUAACUAGGAAGUGGGAGAGGUAGACGGUACUCGGUAGGAAGGGGUAAAAUCCUUUGAUCUAUUGAUGACCACCUGUGGCGAAGGCGGUCUACCAGAACACGUUCGACGGUGAGGGAUGAAAGCUGGGGGAGCAAACCGGAUUAGAUACCCGGGUAGUCCCAGCUGUAAACUAUGCAAACUCAGUGAUGCAUUGGCUUGUGGCCAAUGCAGUGCUGCAGGGAAGCCGUUAAGUUUGCCGCCUGGGAAGUACGUACGCAAGUAUGAAACUUAAAGGAAUUGGCGGGGGAGCACCACAAGGGGUGAAGCCUGCGGU
RNAcentral lists this ribosomal RNA (842 nucleotides) under uncultured archaeon. RNAcentral describes it as "bacterial SSU rRNA". It matches the Rfam family "Archaeal small subunit ribosomal RNA", at positions 53 to 901 of the family's 1478-position model. The record is from RNAcentral.